This 515-nucleotide ribosomal RNA is filed under the name uncultured bacterium. RNAcentral describes it as "partial 16S ribosomal RNA". It matches the Rfam family "Bacterial small subunit ribosomal RNA", at positions 28 to 523 of the family's 1533-position model. The record is from RNAcentral.
GAUGAACGCUGGCGGCGUGCCUAAUACAUGCAAGUCGAGCGAAUGGAUUAAGAGCUUGCUCUUAUGAAGUUAGCGGCGGACGGGUGAGUAACACGUGGGUAACCUGCCCAUAAGACUGGGGUAACUCCGGGAAACCGGGGCUAAUACCGGAUAACAUUUUGAACCGCAUGGUUCGAAAUUGAAAGGCGGCUUCGGCUGUCACUUAUGGAUGGACCCGCGUCGCAUUAGCUAGUUGGUGAGGUAACGGCCCACCAAGGCAACGAGGCGUAGCCGACCUGAGGGGGUGAUCGGGCACACUGGGACUGAGCCACGGCCCAGACUCCUACGGGGGGCAGCAGUAGGGAAUCUUCCGCAAUGGACGAAAGUCUGACGGAGCAACGCCGCGUGAGUGAUGAAGGCUUUCGGGUCGUAAAACUCUGUUGUUAGGGAAGAACAAGUGCUAGUUGAAUAAGCUGGCACCUUGACGGUACCUAACCAGAAAGCCACGGCUAACUACGUGCCAGCCGCCGCCGUAA